Molecule: ribosomal RNA, 78 nt
Filed under: Klebsiella pneumoniae
Lineage: Bacteria; Pseudomonadati; Pseudomonadota; Gammaproteobacteria; Enterobacterales; Enterobacteriaceae
Description: partial 23S ribosomal RNA
Rfam family: Bacterial large subunit ribosomal RNA
Source: RNAcentral
UGACGUUGAUAGGCCGGGUGUGUAAGCGCAGCGAUGCGUUGAGCUAACCGGUACUAAUGAACCGUGAGGCUUAAACUU